UUAAGUUGGUAAUGGUAGACGCGAAACCGUGUGAUCUACCCUUGGGCAGGUUGAAGCUGUGGUAACACAUAGUGGAGGACCGAACCCGUUGACGUUGAAAAGUCUUGGGAUGACCUGAGGGUAGGGGUGAAAGGCCAAUCAAACUCGGAAAUAGCUCGUACUCCCCGAAAUGCAUUUAGGUGCAGCGGUAUAAUAGUUUUAUAGAGGUAGAGCUACUGAUUGGAUGCGGGGGCUUCACCGCCUACCAAUUCCUGACAAACUCCGAAUGCUAUAAAAUGUUUUAUAUCAGUGAGGGCAUGGGUGCUAAGGUCCGUGUCCGAGAGGGAAAGAACCCAGACCAUCAGCUAAGGUCCCCAAAUAUAUGUUAAGUUGAAGAAACGCGGUUGGACUGCCCAGACAGCUAGGAUGUUGGCUUGGAAGCAGCCAUUCAUUUAAAGAGUGCGUAACAGCUCACUAGUCGAGCGGUCCGGCAUGGAUAAUAAUCGGGCAUAAACAUAUUACCGAAGCUAUGGAUUUCAUAUUUAGAUAUGGAGUGGUAGGGGAGCAUUGUAACAGAGAUGAAGGUGUACUGCGAGGUAUGCUGGAUUGGUUACAAAAGAAAAUGUAGGCAUAAGUAACGAUAAUGCAGGCGAGAAACCUGCACACCGAAAGACUAAGGUUUCCCCAGCUAUGCUAAUCAGCUGGGGGUUAGUCGGGACCUAAGGCGAACCCGAAAGGGGUAGUCGAUGGACAACAGAUUAAUAUUUCUGUACUUGCCCCACGUUAAAGCGGACGGAGGCGAACAGUUGGUGCGUGCUGACGGAAUAGCACGUUGAAGGGAGUGGUAACACCCCGAUAGUACACAAAAGCUUCGGCCGGCGUGAUAAUCCAGCGAAUCGACUUCCAAGAAAAGCGAGUGGUGGCAACCCGUACCGUAAACCGACACAGGUAGUUGGGAUGAGAAUUCUAAGGUGCUCGAGAGAUUCAUGGCUAAGGAACUAGGCAAAAUGGGCCCGUAACUUCGGGAGAAGGGUCGCCCCGCUUUAGGCGGGGCCGCAGUGAAGAGGUCCAGGCGACUGUUUAUCAAAAACACAGGGCUCUGCUAAAUCGAAAGAUGAUGUAUAGGGCCUGACACCUGCCCGGUGCUGGAAGGUUAAGAGGAGAUGUUAGCUUCGGCGAAGCAUUGAAUUGAAGCCCCAGUAAACGGCGGCCGUAACUAUAACGGUCCUAAGGUAGCGAAAUUCCUUGUCGGGUAAGUUCCGACCUGCACGAAUGGUGCAACGAUCUGGACACUGUCUCAGCCAUGAGCUCGGUGAAAUUGUAGUAUCGGUGAAGAUGCCGAUUACCCGCUACGGGACGAAAAGACCCCGUGCACCUUUACUAUAGCUUAGUAUUGACUUUGGACAAGUGAUGUGUAGGAUAGGUGGGAGACUUUGAAGCGCCGUCGCCAGGCGGUGUGGAGUCAUUGUUGAAAUACCACCCUUUACUUGUUCGGAGCCUAACCUCAUUAGAUGAGGGACAGUGCUUGGUGGGUAGUUUGACUGGGGUGGUCGCCUCCAAAAGAGUAACGGAGGCUUCUAAAGGUUCCCUCAGCACGCUUGGUAACCGUGCGUAGAGUGCAAUGGCAAAAGGGAGCUUGACUGAGAGACAUACAGGUCGAUCAGGUACGAAAGUAGAGCAUAGUGAUCCGGUGACACCGCAUGGAAGGGUCAUCGCUCAAAGGAUAAAAGGUACGCCGGGGAUAACAGGCUGAUCUCCCCCAAGAGCUCACAUCGACGGGGGGGUUUGGCACCUCGAUGUCGGCUCGUCACAUCCUGGGGCUGGAGAAGGUCCCAAGGGUUGGGCUGUUCGCCCAUUAAAGUGGCACGCGAGCUGGGUUCAGAACGUCGUGAGACAGUUCGGUCUCUAUCUGUAGUGGGCGUUAGAAAUUUGAGUGGACCUGAUCCUAGUACGAGAGGACCGGAUUGGACCAACCUCUGGUGCACCAGUUGUUCCGCCAGGAGCAUUGCUGGGUAGCUACGUUGGGAAGGGAUAAGCGCUGAAAGCAUAUAAGCGCGAAACCCACCACAAGAUGAGAUUUCUUUAAAGGACCGUGGGAGACGACCACGUUGAUAGGCCAUAGGUGUAAAGGCAGCAAUGUCAUAGCCGAGUGGUACUAAUAAUCCGUAAAGCUUGAUGC
Molecule: ribosomal RNA, 2158 nt
Filed under: Salegentibacter agarivorans
Lineage: Bacteria; Pseudomonadati; Bacteroidota; Flavobacteriia; Flavobacteriales; Flavobacteriaceae
Description: bacterial LSU rRNA
Rfam family: Bacterial large subunit ribosomal RNA
Source: RNAcentral